Molecule: ribosomal RNA, 430 nt
Filed under: uncultured Streptomyces sp.
Lineage: Bacteria; Bacillati; Actinomycetota; Actinomycetes; Kitasatosporales; Streptomycetaceae
Description: bacterial SSU rRNA
Rfam family: Bacterial small subunit ribosomal RNA
Source: RNAcentral
AAGAAGCGCCGGCUAACUACGUGCCAGCAGCCGCGGUAAUACGUAGGGCGCGAGCGUUGUCCGGAAUUAUUGGGCGUAAAGAGCUCGUAGGCGGCUUGUCGCGUCGGGUGUGAAAGACCGGGGCUUAACUCCGGUUCUGCAUUCGAUACGGGCUAGCUAGAGUUCGGUAGGGGAGAUCGGAAUUCCUGGUGUAGCGGUGAAAUGCGCAGAUAUCAGGAGGAACACCGGUGGCGAAGGCGGAUCUCUGGGCCGAUACUGACGCUGAGGAGCGAAAGCGUGGGGAGCGAACAGGAUUAGAUACCCUGGUAGUCCACGCCGUAACCGGUGGGCACUAGGUGUGGGCGACAUUCCACGUCGUCCGUGCCGCAGCUAACGCAUUAAGUGCCCCGCCUGGGGAGUACGGCCGCAAGGCUAACACUCAAAGGAAUUG